Molecule: small nuclear RNA, 161 nt
Filed under: Glycine max (soybean)
Lineage: Eukaryota; Viridiplantae; Streptophyta; Magnoliopsida; Fabales; Fabaceae
Description: snRNA U1
Rfam family: U1 spliceosomal RNA
About the family: U1 is a small nuclear RNA (snRNA) component of the spliceosome (involved in pre-mRNA splicing). Its 5' end forms complementary base pairs with the 5' splice junction, thus defining the 5' donor site of an intron.
Source: Rfam by way of RNAcentral
AUACUUACCUGGAUGGGGUCAAUGGGUGAUCAAGAAGGCCCAUGGUUUAGGGCAGCAAUGUCCAUUGCACUUUGGAGGGGUGUUGUUCUAAGGUCUGCCCAAGUGGCAGAGCCUACAUCAUAAUUUGUGGUAGAGGGGACCUGUGUUCGCGCAACCCCUAC